CCUACGGGGGGCUGCAGUGGGGAAUAUUGCGCAAUGGGGGGAACCCUGACGCAGCCAUGCCGCGUGAAUGAAGAAGGCCUUCGGGUUGUAAAGUUCUUUCGGUGACGAGGAAGGUUGUUGUGUUAAUAGCGCAACAAAUUGACGUUAAUCACAGAAGAAGCACCGGCUAACUCCGUGCCAGCAGCCGCGGUAAUACGGAGGGUGCGAGCGUUAAUCGGAAUAACUGGGCGUAAAGGGCACGCAGGCGGACUUUUAAGUGAGGUGUGAAAUCCCCGGGCUUAACCUGGGAAUUGCAUUUCAGACUGGGGGUCUAGAGUACUUUAGGGAGGGGUAGAAUUCCACGUGUAGCGGUGAAAUGCGUAGAGAUGUGGAGGAAUACCGAAGGCGAAGGCAGCCCCUUGGGAAUGUACUGACGCUCAUGUGCGAAAGCGUGGGGAGCAAACAGGAUUAGAUACCCGGGUAGUC
This 465-nucleotide ribosomal RNA is filed under the name uncultured Aggregatibacter sp. RNAcentral's name for it is "bacterial SSU rRNA". It matches the Rfam family "Bacterial small subunit ribosomal RNA", at positions 338 to 795 of the family's 1533-position model. The record is from RNAcentral. Lineage: Bacteria; Pseudomonadati; Pseudomonadota; Gammaproteobacteria; Pasteurellales; Pasteurellaceae.